RNAcentral lists this transfer RNA (76 nucleotides) under Candidatus Omnitrophota bacterium. RNAcentral describes it as "tRNA-Leu". It matches the Rfam family "tRNA". From Rfam's summary of the family: Transfer RNA (tRNA) molecules are approximately 80 nucleotides in length. Their secondary structure includes four short double-helical elements and three loops (D, anti-codon, and T loops). Further hydrogen bonds mediate the characteristic L-shaped molecular structure. tRNAs have two regions of fundamental functional importance: the anti-codon, which is responsible for specific mRNA codon recognition, and the 3' end, to which the tRNAs corresponding amino acid is attached (by aminoacyl-tRNA synthetases). tRNAs cope with the degeneracy of the genetic code in two manners: having more than one tRNA (with a specific anti-codon) for a particular amino acid; and 'wobble' base-pairing, i.e. permitting non-standard base-pairing at the 3rd anti-codon position. The record is from RNAcentral. Lineage: Bacteria; Pseudomonadati; Candidatus Omnitrophota.
AUGGCGGAAUUGGCAUACGCGUAUGGCUUAGGACCAUAUGGGACAACCCUUGGAGGUUCAAAUCCUCUUCCGCCCA